CGGGACGGGGUGGAGGUAACGCGUGGGUGACCUGCCCCAUACCGGGGGAUAACAGCUGGAAACGGCUGCUAAUACCGCAUAAGCGCACAGAGCUGCAUGGCUCAGUGUGAAAAACUCCGGUGGUAUGGGAUGGGCCCGCGUCUGAUUAGGCAGUUGGCGGGGUAACGGCCCACCAAACCGACGAUCAGUAGCCGGCCUGAGAGGGCGACCGGCCACAUUGGGACUGAGACACGGCCCAA
Molecule: ribosomal RNA, 239 nt
Filed under: uncultured bacterium
Lineage: Bacteria
Description: partial 16S ribosomal RNA
Rfam family: Bacterial small subunit ribosomal RNA
Source: RNAcentral